GGUUGUUUGGCCGAGCGGUCUAAGGCGCCUGAUUCAAGCUCUCAGGUAUCGUAAGAUGCAAGAGUUCGAAUCUCUUAGCAACCA
Molecule: transfer RNA, 84 nt
Filed under: Henningerozyma blattae CBS 6284
Lineage: Eukaryota; Fungi; Ascomycota; Saccharomycetes; Saccharomycetales; Saccharomycetaceae
Description: Tetrapisispora blattae CBS 6284 tRNA-Leu
Rfam family: tRNA
About the family: Transfer RNA (tRNA) molecules are approximately 80 nucleotides in length. Their secondary structure includes four short double-helical elements and three loops (D, anti-codon, and T loops).
Source: RNAcentral